GUGAUAUUCGACUCUUCAUUGUCCUUGUUGCGCAGGCGUUCCUGUCGGGCUCGUCUGCGCCGCUCACGGGCCGCCUCCUCAUCAUCAUCCUGAGCAUUUAUUCUGUACAGAAAACUUCAUGAAUCUUAAGAUGUUGGAGAUGGUAGACAGAGACCCAUAACAGGCACCACAAUUUUGUUUCUCUUUUCCGGGACAACGGCGGAAAUCCGAAACGAUCCGGGAGUUCCGAAAUGGAAAAGGUCAUCCGAAACGACACUCAGAUGGAGUAUCUGAAGAAAAUGUCUUUUGUGAGAGAAAAGACAGAGUGCUUUUGGGUACAGUGGGCAUGUUAUACAUUCCCCAGAUCGCCUAUCACUGUACAGCCUUCCUACCACAAGGUUCCAGGCAUUUUGCCCUCUGCACGCUUCUCAUUUUUCACCCUAAAAUCUUGAGAGAAAUAGCAGAGUUUGUUCGCAUGUGCCAGAUUUCUCUACAGCAGAUGAAAUACGUCUAUGAAAUGAAUCUCGCAGGAAUUUUACAGUAAAGACUGACAGAUGAUGCUCAAACCUGUUAACAAGAUUAAUCUACCAUCUGAAAUUCGUGCGUGAGGACGUCUGGAUUCAAGAGCUGUAACCGCCACCCAAGAACAGUCAGAUGAGGACAUAGAUCCAUUUGUACUGGGAAGGAGAUGCCUUGUUGCUUAUACCAUGUAAGGAGAAGACCUGAUUUGGCAGAAGUGCAGCAAGACGCCUGGGUAACGUACAGUAUGAUAAACAGUUUUACGAUGGAACCCAUUCAAGGAUGAAAACCUCAAACCGGAAUUCGAUAUUAAUCACACAACAUCUGCAAACUUCUCCAUGCAUAUUUGAUGAAUCGACCCAAAGCUUGGUUUCAAAUUAUGCUGACCUCACACCUUGGAAAUUCAAAAUGUGCCAAUGUCCAUCAUUUUUGAAUAAGUGGGUCCGUAUAUCCCAAAAAAAUUUGCUGAAUGAUUUAAGAAACUAUAUGGAAGUGUCUUCUUGUUAUAAACAUCUGGCAGCAAUGAACUGUGUAUGGUAUAUUUUAACUACAAAUUAAAAUCCAGGUUCGACCACAUGCAACUGCGAUAUCUACAGAUUACAUUAAACACACUGUAAGGUUUUCAUCCAAUUCAAUCAGUAUGAUUUAUUGUCAGUACUGAGCAAAUAGGAACUGCUUUUGAAAGAAAAUUUGCAUUUCAGCUUUAACGGAUAAAUGAUUUGUGGGUGACAGACAGGUUUUAUAAUGCAAACUGGCUUUAACGUAAAGGCAAAGUGGUAUUCUUGCCAACCCAAACAACAUGGGUUUGGAUAUCACCAUGUCCCUCCAUUACCAUGUUAUAGCUCCAUCACAAGAUGAUCCCUUUGAGGGAAAAAAUAGCUAGCUGAUCGUUGACAGAUCCCUGCUGAACCACUAUCCCUCCUGCUCUGAUUUCCCCAAAGUUUGGGCACUAACGGCCAGCAACAUUCCCAAACGUGAUCCCAUCCCACUCCGGAAGCAUAGGGCAGUAUUCCUAACAUCCUGCCUGUAGCCUGUGCCAAAGCCCUGUUAUCGCUGCUCACCGGAUUGCCUCCAGAUUCUGUACAAUUGCACAACGCACAUAUACGGUGUUGCUGCUGUGCAUUCCACAAACGCCUCCAUUGAUAUAAAUCCACGGCUAUAUGACUCAGACAUUGUUUUAUGUUUAAACAUGUUUGAGUAACGUUUUGUUCAAGUUAAUUGAUUUUUGGGAAUCUAUAACAUUAUAUUAAAGCUACAUCAGCAUGCAACCUUUUUAAAGUCAAAAUAAUGUGAUGCAGGUGCACGAACGCAUCUGGACUGUUGUAGAGCUAACAAGAUAAAGACUGGAUGAGCUCAUGCAAGCAACUAGUAGUCUCUCUGAACAAGUGCCAAAGGAAAACAACAUUUUUGCAAGAUGCGAUGCAUUUGUUCUUCAGAAGAAAGCUAACAAAU
Misgurnus anguillicaudatus (oriental weatherfish) is the source of this 1950-nucleotide non-coding RNA. Lineage: Eukaryota; Metazoa; Chordata; Actinopteri; Cypriniformes; Cobitidae. The record is from RefSeq and is a predicted model, not a curated record.